RNAcentral lists this non-coding RNA (22 nucleotides) under Arabidopsis thaliana (thale cress). Lineage: Eukaryota; Viridiplantae; Streptophyta; Magnoliopsida; Brassicales; Brassicaceae. The record is from RNAcentral.
UAGUCUGGAGAAGCGUCCUCAG